This is a long non-coding RNA of Canis lupus familiaris (dog), 275 nucleotides long. RefSeq lists it as uncharacterized. The record is from RefSeq and is a predicted model, not a curated record. The transcript is spliced from 2 exons. NCBI's taxonomy places the organism in Eukaryota, Metazoa, Chordata, Mammalia, Carnivora, Canidae.
CGCAAGCGCUGGGCGGGGCCUGGGGAGGGGCGUGGUCAGGGCCCCGGGAGGCUGUCUCGGAGUCCCCCGCUCGGCCCCGGGAUUAGCGGAUUCAGGUCGGAACCCGGGUUCCGGUUCAGCCUGCGCCCUGGGCCUCGCUCGUGGAAGCGCCGGAGCAUUUCCCUUCAGCGAGAGAAGAUAUCAAUUGACCCAACCACGGAUUAAAUAUUCAAAAACAUCUCCAUAAAAAUUCAAGAGGCUUUAUAAUGCCGUCAAAAUAUGAAUGGAAGCCCAAA